This 458-nucleotide ribosomal RNA is filed under the name Achromobacter xylosoxidans. Its description in RNAcentral is "bacterial SSU rRNA". It matches the Rfam family "Bacterial small subunit ribosomal RNA", at positions 30 to 487 of the family's 1533-position model. The record is from RNAcentral. Lineage: Bacteria; Pseudomonadati; Pseudomonadota; Betaproteobacteria; Burkholderiales; Alcaligenaceae.
AUUGAACGCUGCGGGAUCCUUACACAUGCAAGUCGAACGGCAGCACGGACUUCGGUCUGGUGGCGAGUGGCGAACGGGUGAGUAAUGUAUCGGAACGUGCCCAGUAGCGGGGAUAACUACGCGAAAGCGUAGCUAAUACCGCAUACGCCCACGGGGGAAAGCAGGGGAUCGCAAGACCUUGCACUAUGGAGCGGCCGAUAUCGGAUUAGCUAGUUGGUGGGGUAACGGCUCACCAAGGCGACGAUCCGUAGCUGGUUGAGAGGACGACCAGCCACACUGGGACUGAGACACGGCCCAGACUCCUACGGGAGGCAGCAGUGGGGAAUUUGGACAAUGGGGGAAACCCUGAUCCAGCCAUCCCGCGUGUGCGAUGAAGGCCUUCGGGUUGUAAAGCACUUUUGGCAGGAAAGAAACGUGCAUGGGCUAAUACCCCGUGAAACUGACGGUACCUGCAGAAU